AUACGUAGGGGGCGAGCGUUGUCCGGAAUGAUUGGGCGUAAAGGGCGCGUAGGCGGCCCGGUAAGUCUGGAGUGAAAGUCCUGUUUUUAAGAUGGGAAUUGCUUUGGAUACUGUCGGGCUUGAGUGCAGGAGAGGUAAGUGGAAUUCCCAGUGUAGCGGUGAAAUGCGUAGAGAUUGGGAGGAACACCAGUGGCGAAGGCGACUUACUGGACUGUAACUGACGCUGAGGCGCGAAAGUGUGGGGAGCAAACAGGAUUAGAUACCCUGGUAGUCCACACUGUAAACGAUGAAUGCUAGGUGUAGGGGGUAUCGACCCCUUCUGUGCCGCAGUCAACACAAUAAGCAUUCCGCCUGGGGAGUACGGCCGCAAGGUUGAAACUCAAAUGAAUUGACGGGGG
This 398-nucleotide ribosomal RNA is filed under the name uncultured bacterium. RNAcentral describes it as "partial 16S ribosomal RNA". It matches the Rfam family "Bacterial small subunit ribosomal RNA", at positions 523 to 919 of the family's 1533-position model. The record is from RNAcentral.